This is a long non-coding RNA of Salvia miltiorrhiza (redroot sage), 2233 nucleotides long. RefSeq lists it as uncharacterized. Lineage: Eukaryota; Viridiplantae; Streptophyta; Magnoliopsida; Lamiales; Lamiaceae. The transcript is spliced from 5 exons. The record is from RefSeq and is a predicted model, not a curated record.
UAUAUUUGGACAAAUGUGUUGUUAAAUAUUAUAUAGACAACUAUAAUGGCUAAAUCUGUUGUCUAUGACCAUAGAAAAAUGUGGUCAUAGACAACAGUGUUUGAAACAUGUUGUCUAUGAACGCUACUAGACAACAAGACUUAAUUUCUGUUGUCUAUUAAUACAAUAAACAAUAGAUUUUCCUAGUUUGUUGUCUUUAUUCAAAGCAUAUAGACAAGUAUUUUAAAAAUCUAUUGUCUAUUACUAUUACCUCAUUACGCAAACACUUGUGAAUUUUAAUCAAAAAAGAAAAAGAUAAAAUGUGAUGCAUUGUAACCAAGAAAAAAAAAGUUAGUUUCUACUUUCUAAAACUACAUUCAAUUUCUGUCGCUCCUCCUUCUCCCUCCGCGGCUCCGCCGCUGCGCCUACCACCACCGGCUGCCGUCGCCAUCAACUCACUCCAGCCUGACGCCGCCUCCUUCACCAGCUCAACGCCGCCCGAUGCCCCUACCUAACCCACUGCGUGCACACCAGCCCUGAAUCUCUCUCUUUCUCUCCUUCGGCGAACGGUUGCUCGGCGGGAACUCAUUGUCAUCACUCCCUCUACCACCGUCGCCCUUCCUCGCCGAAACGCAGCGGCAGAUCCGUCGACAUCUCCUCCAUCGACGCCUUUCAACUGGCCCAUCAUCAUAGCAAAACCUAGGUGCAAUUGAGCUUUAUGCAGCGCUCGAUUGUGUGCGAAUUUGGGAUGAAGAAGGCGGAUUCAAUGGCAAAGAAGGCUCACCAAUCGGAGAAGAGGCGGAACAAGGCCAAGAAGUUAGGACUCGGAUAAAAAAGGUUUGUUCGUGAUUUAAGGUUCACUAUCUCAAUUCAUGAAUUUAACAUCUCUCAAUAUUUGUUAAUCUUUUUAAUUGCAUUAUUCAAAUGGAAUAUGAGGAUGUCUGGCAAAUUAUCUCUUGUGAUUAAAUUUGUUUUGGUGGAUUUGCAGAAUUUGGGUUUAUUGCUGAAUUUUUCAAGUACUUUGGACUAAAUUUAGGAUAUAGUCAUUUAGCUUCAAGGGAAAAUUUGUGAUGUAGUGGAGUUUGCAGCAUAAGUUGUCAAUGUCAUGAGUUUUAUCUGUUCAUGAUAAAUGAUUAUGUUGCCUUCCCUCCUAUAAAGAGGACUGAUUCUUAGCAUUCAACCUCACCAUUAACUCUAGCUGGUUCAAGCUUCCCCACACAUGUUCCUCUUGUUACCCGAUCCUCUGUGUUCUCUUGAAAAGUUACACAAGGUAUGUUUUCUUUCUUUCUAAUUUCUGAAUUCAAAGUAUGUCAUUUUGUUUAAAUUGUUUGAAGAUAUGAAGUUGUUGUUAGUCUAGGAAAAUUUGAUGGUAUGUUUCUUCGUGGUUUACUCCAAGCCUGCCCUAGCAACUUGCUUCUUCGUUCCUCUGUUUUCUGUGUAUUGUAUUCUGAUUUAAUGAAUGUAUAUUUAUGUAUAUGUUUAAGAAUUAGUUCACGGAUAAGUCGAAUACCUCUAUAUCUGGCUGUUUCAAAAAUUUAGUUGUCUUAACUUUUGUUGUUUGUUGUGACUGUUUCCAAUGAAUACUAAUAAUAUUUUUUAUAUUUUAUCUACUUAAAGAAUGGCAAAAGGCAUCAUCACUAUAGCUGGUUGGCUGAGUUUAUUGAUUUUUUCACUUGUUGUGAUGAAUGCUCAAGGCCCCGUUACUAUUCGAGACGAUGCCAUCCCUAGAGGAGCAGUUUGCUUUGAUGGGAGUGCACUAGCGUACUCUUACGUUGAGGGAUCUAGAGACAACUGAUAGUUGGAUUGUGUAUCUGCAAGUGGUGGAUGGUGUUACAACUCUAUCUGAUUUAUAACAGAUCACGUACAUAUUCUUGGGGAGUAGUCACCUUAUUGAUUCUCAAACCAACUUCUUAGCGUUACUGGAUUUAAAUUGCACAUAUGAUCUCAUCUGGGUUUCUGCAGUUGGUAGAAGGUUUAUAUUAACUAUCGUGAUGACUCAUCAUUUAUGUUAGAUAUAUUGGACACGAAGACAAACAUCUCCUUUCGAAGUGCAAGGAUUUUCAGUAUUACGAUGGAAGAAAUGAUUACUAAAGGAAUGGGAAAUGUUUGUUGGAUAAUUGAAUUUGUUGGAUGAUUGGUGGUGAAUGUUAAAGGUUGAAGAUUGUAUUAGAAGUUUUUUUAGGAGAAGUUUAUUUGAAUGUUGAAGGCAUAGUUAGAGACAAUACAAUUGUGGAUGUAAUAUCUUUUGAUGAAA